UGACCCGGAAGCCCACGGCGGGUUCCGCCCCUCGUUCGGGGAGAGGCAGGCUCGGACCGGCCCACCGAGCCGCCGCCGCCCUUAGCGCCCUCCUCGCCGCCGCCAUGCUCCAGUUCCUGCUUGGAUUUACUUUUGGCAACGUGGUUGGAAUGUAUCUGGCUCAGAACUAUGACAUACCAAACCUGGCUAAAAAACUAGAAGAAAUUAAAAAGGACUUGGAUGCCAAGAAGAAACCCCCUAGUUCAUGAGGCGGACUCCAGCACUGCCUUCUGGAUAUACGGAUUCUGCUGUUCUUGAGGGCCUCCUUACCAUUUGAACCAAAAGCUUUUGUUUUGAAUUCCAGCCUCAACAAUUUUCCUGUUAGAUCCUACGUCGCUUGAGAGCAUAGAUGGGGCCACAAGUUAAGAACCACCCUUUUCCAACUUCCUCACCUCAUCCCUUCCUCCUUCCAGCCACUUGAGACGGCCUAAGACUGGAAUUAUGGUGCUAGAUUAGUAAAUGUGACCUUUAAUUUGUAGUCUCUCCUUUAUUCUUGGAAUUUCUACUCUUUUCUAAAGAAAAAUUGAUGAGUUUUAUAUAGCCGAUCAGACAUAAAUAAUGCUGAUUACACGGCUUAGCGAUUAUAAUGGGUGUUUUAAACAUUUGGUACUAAAUUAUGUUGUUUUAAAGUCAUUAAAAUUAAAGCCCAGAAGCCAGUUACUCCGGAAUUAUCCACUUAUUAUAUACUGUUGUCAGACAGCUCCAUAAGUGCUAAUUUAAUCAGUAAAUCAAUUUACUACUCAUUAACUGAGAAACUGUAUUCUGAGAACCCUGUCAGGAACUAGGGAGUUAGUUUAAAAAUGUAAAAUAAUGGCCCUUAUCCUCCGUAGAAUUCAUAGUCUAGUAUGCAUGUUUUUCCUUAAUCGUGUCUUUGAUUUGGCUCUUUUCCCUCAAAAGAAUCCUACUUAUCUUAGGGCAUUAUAGGUGCAUUUGACGUUACAUGAUGGAUAAAUGACAAGUUGUAAAGGAAAUUUUAUGCCUCUUGACAUUAAAAAUGUAUUUACAUUAUACCUUUA
Zalophus californianus (California sea lion) is the source of this 1055-nucleotide long non-coding RNA. RefSeq lists it as uncharacterized. The record is from RefSeq and is a predicted model, not a curated record. Lineage: Eukaryota; Metazoa; Chordata; Mammalia; Carnivora; Otariidae. The transcript is spliced from 3 exons.